RNAcentral lists this ribosomal RNA (496 nucleotides) under uncultured bacterium. RNAcentral's name for it is "partial 16S ribosomal RNA". It matches the Rfam family "Bacterial small subunit ribosomal RNA", at positions 29 to 507 of the family's 1533-position model. The record is from RNAcentral.
AUGAACGCUGGCGGCGUGCCUAAUACAUGCAAGUCGAGCGAACGGACGAGAAGCUUGCUUCUCUGAUGUUAGCGGCGGACGGGUGAGUAACACGUGGAUAACCUACCUAUAAGACUGGGAUAACUUCGGGAAACCGGAGCUAAUACCGGAUAAUAUUUUGAACCGCAUGGUUCAAAAGUGAAAGACGGACUUGCUGUCACUUAUAGAUGGAUCCGCGCUGCAUUAGCUAGUUGGUAAGGUAACGGCUUACCAAGGCAACGAUGCAUAGCCGACCUGAGAGGGUGAUCGGCCACACUGGAACUGAGACACGGUCCAGACUCCUACGGGAGGCAGCAGUAGGGAAUCUUCCGCAAUGGGCGAAAGCCUGACGGAGCAACGCCGCGUGAGUGAUGAAGGUCUUCGGAUCGUAAAACUCUGUUAUUAGGGAAGAACAUAUGUGUAAGUAACUGUGCACAUCUUGACGGUACCUAAUCAGAAAGCCACGGCUAACUACGUG